AGAGCGAACGCUGGCGGCAGGCCUAACACAUGCAAGUCGAGCGCCCGUAGCAAUACGGGAGCGGCAGACGGGAUAGUAACACGUGGGAACGCGCCCUUCGGUUCGGAAUAACUCAGGGAAACUUGAGCUAAUACCGGAUACGCCCUUACGGGGAAAGAUUUAUUGCCGAAGGAACGGCCCGCGUCCGAUUAGCUAGUUGGUGAGGUAAUGGCUCACCAAGGCGACGAUCGGUAGCUGAUCUGAGAGGAUGAUCAGCCACACUGGAACUGAGACACGGUCCAGACUCCUACGGGAGGCAGCAGUGGGGAAUCUUGGACAAUGGGCGCAAGCCUGAUCCAGCCAUGCCGCGUGAGUGAAGAAGGCCUUCGGGUUGUAAAGCUCUUUUGUCGAGGACGAUAAUGACGGUACCUGAAGAAUAAGCCCGGCAACUCGUGCCAGCAGCCGC
This 445-nucleotide ribosomal RNA is filed under the name uncultured bacterium. RNAcentral describes it as "SSU rRNA". It matches the Rfam family "Bacterial small subunit ribosomal RNA", at positions 26 to 518 of the family's 1533-position model. The record is from RNAcentral.